GAAUAUUGGACAAUGGGGGGAACCCUGAUCCAGCCAUGCCGCGGGUGUGAAGAAGGCCUUUUGGUUGUAAAGCACUUUAAGAGAGGAGGAGGCUACUCUAGUUAAUACCUAGAGAUAGUGGACGUUAAUCGCCAGAUAAGCACCGGCUAACUCUGUGCCAGCAGCACUGGUAAUACAGAGGGUGCAAGCGUUAAUCGGAUUUACUGGUCGUAAAGCGCGCGUAGGUGGCCAAUUAAGUCAAAUGUGAAAUCCCCGAGCUUAACUUGGGAAUUGCAUUCGAUACUGGUUGGCUAGAGUAUGGGAGAGGAUGGUAGAAUUCCAGGUGUAGCGGUGAAAUGCGUAGAGAUCUGGAGGAAUACCGAUGGCGAAGGCAGCCAUCUGGCCUAAUACUGACACUGAGGUGCGAAAGCAUGGGGAGCAAACA
This 424-nucleotide ribosomal RNA is filed under the name uncultured bacterium. RNAcentral describes it as "bacterial SSU rRNA". It matches the Rfam family "Bacterial small subunit ribosomal RNA", at positions 359 to 774 of the family's 1533-position model. The record is from RNAcentral.